UUUGGCACUCUCCAGGCCUGCA
Molecule: microRNA, 22 nt
Filed under: Ascaris suum (pig roundworm)
Lineage: Eukaryota; Metazoa; Nematoda; Chromadorea; Rhabditida; Ascarididae
Description: asu-miR-791-3p
Gene: asu-miR-791-3p
Source: miRBase by way of RNAcentral